UCCCACCGUCCACUUUCUUUUGGAGUAUCUAGUUGUUGCUUGGGUGGAGAGAUAAGUCUUUCUAGUGUUACCACACAAGAAAAGAAGAUCUCUCUAGGAUCUGUUGACUCAGUUUUGGGGUUCUUAUUUGUGCUUCUAUUAUCAGUAACUCUUGGAAAAGGAGCAAUGUUGGACAUGGUGUAGCCUCAGUCUUGGGAUUAGUUCUUGUUAGUAUUGUUGUUGUCAUUGAUAUGUUGCUCUCAUGAUCAGUACUGAUGUAGACUUGUUUCUGCCUAAUAAAAACACAUGACAUGUAGGCACUUCAUCCACGCUUUGUGAUGUGCUCAUAGGCCUUUUUCUACCUAAACAAACCAUAUGAAAUGUAGGCACUUCAUCCAAAAUCGAUCAAAGUUUAAACAUAGUACAACCAAAAAAUGAUUCAGUUGAUAUAAUUGGACAGUGUGGACUACUACCACUUUUGUGCGAUUACUGUUAUUUUUGUUCCCUGCAGUUAUUGUCUGAUCUAGUCCCUAAUAGAACGCGCCGAAGAAACUUUGAAAAAUUAUCAUAAGACUUUUUCUGUCAAUGUGACAUAGUGAGCCGCAAAAGUUCCUUUAAUCAAGUUUCCUUAAAAAAUCACACGGAUCUUUAUGUGCAUGAUACUGGGCAAUUUGUGAGAUCCAAAAAGCAUGAAUUUGCUUUUCAUUCUUUGUAAUAUUGGGUAAGUUUUGCAGAUCUAUACAUUGUUCCUCUUAAUUUGCUUUUGUUUUGUUCUGUUUCUGCUUUUAGUAUGCUUGUCUGGAUCUCUAUUCCUGCUGUGUCUGUAGCAAAGCAAGAGGUAUUGGUCAUAGCUAAUUAUGUCUUGUUUCAUAUUAGGGUCCAUUGGGUAUUGUGCGUCAUUGAUUUGUCGUCUUCAACAGUGUACUACAUGGAUUCAAUUAAUAAGGAAGUCCACUCACCCCUUAAACUCUUGAUUAAGACGCAAGUUUUUGGACUUUGAGCAUUAUUGUUUGAGCCCUUUUCUUAAUCAUAUUAUGUUGAUAGUACUUACAAGUAUUGCCUCCUUGAAGUGCAUUCAAAAUCUAUGACAGUAGUAAGGGAGUACGGAGUAGUCGAAUUAUUAAUUGAAAAAAAAUCGAGGUAUCAAUGCAAUCUCUCUCUUUUUGGGUUUUUUUGGCAUUGUUUUUAUGUUUUUUCUGAUUGAAAUGAUCGUAUUUGUCUACAGUGCCCUAGACAACCUACAAACGUGGAAUGUGAGUUCUAUGUAAUGAAAUACAUGAAAGAUUUGAUUAGAGAUGAGAGGAUCUUAAGCAGAGGAAAUUUCAAUGGAAAAAAAACUUACACGAAAGCCGAAAUUGAUGAAGUGCGAGCCGAGUGGAUAAAGUCCAUCAUGAACAAAGUAUAAUCAGCUUCUAUGUGCAUUGGAGUUCUUGAUACUGCUACCUUUUGUUUUCUGGUGGAUUUAGGCAUGCUCUGAGAAUGACGAAGUGCUUGAAAUUGGCUUUAGAGAAUGAUGAGUGCUUGAAAUUGGCUUCAGAGAAUGACGAAGUGCUUGAAAUUGGCUUCAAAGAAUGAAGAAUUCAUUGUAGCUUAGGACAUAACUCCAUGCUUGUGGUUCAAUUAGUUUUCUUUGUCCUUUUUAUUAUUGAAGCUUUUGUUCUGCAUUUUUUAUGCAUUUUCAGAAAUUUGAUUGAUGUUAGAUUAAUUCAAAGUAGGCUUUCC
This is a long non-coding RNA of Rhododendron vialii, 1701 nucleotides long. RefSeq lists it as uncharacterized. The record is from RefSeq and is a predicted model, not a curated record. The transcript has 3 exons. Lineage: Eukaryota; Viridiplantae; Streptophyta; Magnoliopsida; Ericales; Ericaceae.